This 792-nucleotide ribosomal RNA is filed under the name uncultured cyanobacterium. RNAcentral's name for it is "bacterial SSU rRNA". It matches the Rfam family "Bacterial small subunit ribosomal RNA", at positions 45 to 875 of the family's 1533-position model. The record is from RNAcentral. Lineage: Bacteria; Bacillati; Cyanobacteriota.
UGCCUACACAUGCAAGUCGUACGAGGGUUUUUAACCCUAGUGGCGGACGGGUGAGUAACACGUGAGAAUUUGCCUUUAGGAGGGGGAUAACAAUCGGAAACGAAUGCUAAUACCCCAUAUGCUUUUGAGUAAAAUGGAUCUAUCCGCCUAAAGAGAAGCUCGCGGCUGAUUAGCUUGUUGGUGAGGUAAGAGCUUACCAAGGCGACGAUCAGUAUCUGGUUUGAGAGGACGAUCAGACACACUGGAACUGAGACACGGUCCAGACUCCUACGGGAGGCAGCAGUGGGGAAUUUUCCGCAAUGGGCGAAAGCCUGACGGAGCAAUACCGCGUGAGGGAAGACUGCCUAUGGGUUGUAAACCUCUUUUUUCAGGGAGGAACAAAAUGACGUGUACCUGAAGAAUAAGCAUCGGCUAACUCCGUGCCAGCAGCCGCGGUAAGACGGAGGAUGCAAGUGUUAUCCGGAAUCACUGGGCGUAGAGCGUCUGUAGGUGGUUUAAUAAGUCAACUGUUAAAUCUUGAGGCUCAACUUCAAAAUCGCAGUCGAAACUAUUAGACUAGAGUAUAGUAGAGGUAAAGGGAAUUUCCAGUGGAGCGGUGAAAUGCGUAGAUAUUGGAAAGAACACCGAUGGCGAAAGCACUUUACUGGGCUAUUACUAACACUCAGAGACGAAAGCUAGGGUAGCAAAUGGGGAUUAGAUACCCCAGUAGUCCUAGCCGUAAACUAUGGAUACUAGAUGUUGAACAGAUCGACCUGUGCAGUAUCAAAGCUAACGCGUUAAGUAUCCCGCCUG